Oreochromis aureus is the source of this 1633-nucleotide long non-coding RNA. RefSeq lists it as uncharacterized. The record is from RefSeq and is a predicted model, not a curated record. The transcript has 3 exons. NCBI's taxonomy places the organism in Eukaryota, Metazoa, Chordata, Actinopteri, Cichliformes, Cichlidae.
UAGACAGCUGAUGUGUUAAUGGUGCAUUCAGUCUCAAAAGCUAGUUUUUGAUGCAGGGGAUGUUGUAAAGAGAGCACCACAGUCUCCCCCUCCUGGACUGGAAGCAAAGACGGUUGACAUCCCAAUGAAGCUUCAAAUGUUAAAGCAUUACCUCUUGGGAUGGUGUGGACACAGAGGAUCAGGAUGGAGGGGGAGAGCUGAAGACUGGGAGAAGGUUCUGGAGCAAUACUGAAGCAGUACCAAGACACAUCUAAAACAAAUCUUCAAGGUGUGGGGAGGAACAAAACAAGAUGAAGCUGUAGUUAAACUUUGGAUCCAAGAUCUGUAAAUGAAACACGACUUCAGCACACAUGGUACAAAGUGAUAUAAUGAGUGACCUAACACAAACAGGCUAACCUGAAAUGCAAAACUGAGCCAAAAGACAACAGGAACUCGAGUCUCUUGGUGUAAGCAAGUCUUAACCAAAUACUUUUCAUAUUCACCGGUAACAAAAAUAUUUAUUUAAUAUUUAUUUAUAGAAAUAUUUGUUUAACCAAAAAAAACAUUCCUGGAAGUCACAAAGCCCUCCUUGUUUUCACUUCAUCAAACUGCAUUUUCAAGCUUCUUCUGCUAUCUUACUUCCAGAUGAUAAAAAGGUCAAGCCAAUAAAACUUCAUCAUAAUUAAAUUAUCUUUCAACUAGUUUUUAGAACCUUUGACCUUUUUAGCACCUUUGCAGAUUGUGAAGAUCACAUAUUGAAACAAACAACAUAUUUCCAAGACUCUUACUUCAGCUUGGGUCAAAAUAGCCUCUGAGGGGCCUCUUACUUUAUUCUUCUUAACAGCUUCUUCCAGAAUGGCCUUUACUCUUCCCUGAGAGAGCGGCCAAUGAGGAGACUACAAUACUAACUAUAACUACAACGAUGACCUGGACACAUCAAAGAAAAACUGGAUGUUAAAGUUUACUUUAAAAUGACUUUAAAACAGUCACAAAUUAAGCCAUUACCAUCGCUUAUUAAUUUCAUAUGAUGGUGUUACUUUUAUAUAGUAAAUGGAAAAGGGUCUGGGUAUUAUACAGUAUUCCUGUUCUACUGGAGCGUCAAAGUGCUUUAUACAACAUGUCUCAUUCACCCGUUGACACUCAUUCAAACAAGCACUUUUUAUUUUCUACAACUAAAUGCUUUCUAUUGAACUUUAACACUUCAGAGGCCAACUUGGGGUUCAUUAACUUGCCCAAAGAUGCUUUGACAUCAAAACUUUGAGCUCAAACUACCAGCCUUCCAGUUACUGAAUGACCAGUUCGACCUCCUGAGUUAUAGCCACCACCAUACACGUUGAUUUUUUAAAUAUUAUUCAACCAUCUUGUUGCUGAUUGACUUCAGUGUAACUGACUUGUUGCAUCAUCCAACCUUCUUAAGCAUCAAGUCACAACCAGUUUCCCUGUAAAAUAUCUUGAUGCUACCUUGACAAUUAUAGUUUCUCUCAGUGAUUAAAAUGUCCUUAAGCCCUGAGAGAAGGAAUGAGAUGUGUUAAUGAGUUAAUGUUAGACAUUUAAGUUAGAAUUUCUAGUUAUUAGAUCAGUAAUAUACAUUGUACAAUCAUUCAAUUACAUAAAAUAAAAAUUGCCAAAAAAUCUGUUCAGGAGGAUACUGAUG